RNAcentral lists this ribosomal RNA (378 nucleotides) under uncultured cyanobacterium. RNAcentral describes it as "bacterial SSU rRNA". It matches the Rfam family "Bacterial small subunit ribosomal RNA", at positions 376 to 770 of the family's 1533-position model. The record is from RNAcentral. Lineage: Bacteria; Bacillati; Cyanobacteriota.
GGCAACCCUGACGGAGCAACGCCGCGUGAGGGAGGAAGGCCUUAGGGUUGUAAACCUCUUUUCUCUGGGAAGAAGGACUGACGGUACCAGAGGAAUAAGCUUCGGCUAACUCCGUGCCAGCACCCCCGUAAGACGGAGGAGCCAAGCGUUAUCCGGAAUUAUUGGGCGUAAAGCGUCCGCAGGCGGCUAGUUAAGUCUGUUGUUAAAGCCCACAGCUCAACUGUGGAUCGGCAAUGGAAACUGAAUAACUUGAGAGCGGUAGGGGUAGAGGGAAUUCCCGGUGUAGCGGUGAAAUGCGUAGAUAUCGGGAAGAACACCAGUGGCGAAGGCGCUCUACUGGGCCGCGACUGACGCUGAGGGACGAAAGCUAGGGGAGCG